Molecule: ribosomal RNA, 266 nt
Filed under: uncultured bacterium
Lineage: Bacteria
Description: partial 16S ribosomal RNA
Rfam family: Bacterial small subunit ribosomal RNA
Source: RNAcentral
GUCCACGCCGUAAACGAUGGGCACUAGAUGCCGGGUCUAUAGACGGAUUCGGUGUCGCAGCUAACGCAUUAAGUGCCCCGCCUGGGGAGUACGGCCGCAAGGCUGAAACUCAAAGGAAUUGACGGGGGCCCCGCACAAGCGGUGGAGCAUGUGGUUUAAUUCGAAGCAACGCGAAGAACCUUACCUAGGCUUGACAUGCUAGUGAAAGCCCCUGGAAACAGGGGCCCUCCUUCGGGACACUAGCACAGGUGCUGCAUGGCUGUCGU